This 433-nucleotide ribosomal RNA is filed under the name uncultured bacterium. RNAcentral describes it as "partial 16S ribosomal RNA". It matches the Rfam family "Bacterial small subunit ribosomal RNA", at positions 29 to 507 of the family's 1533-position model. The record is from RNAcentral.
AACGAACGCUGGCGGCAUGCCUAACACAUGCAAGUCGAACGAGACCUUCGGGUGUAGUGGCGCACGGGUGCGUAACGCGUGGGAACCUGCCCUUAGGUUCGGAAUAACUCCCCGAAAGGGGUGCUAAUACCGGAUAAUGUCCUCGGACCAAAGAUUUAUCGCCUUUGGAUGGGCCGGCGUUGGAUUAGCUAGUUGGUAGGGUAAAAGCCUACCAAGGCGACGAUCCAUAGCUGGUCUGAGAGGAUGAUCAGCCACACUGGGACUGAGACACGGCCCAGACUCCUACGGGAGGCAGCAGUGGGGAAUAUUGGACAAUGGGCGAAAGCCUGAUCCAGCAAUGCCGCGUGAGUGAUGAAGGCCUUAGGGUUGUAAAGCUCUUUUACCCGGGAUGAUAAUGACAGUACCGGGAGAAUAAGCUCCGGCUAACUCCGUG